UGUUGAUUGUGAAAUGCCAGUUGAAGCAUAUGUCCUGCGAGCUUAGGGGUGCUACAAGUUGACCACUGCAGCAGUAAAGAUGACUCUGAAGAAUGGCGUGGGAUGGUUCCUUUCAAAUGCACUUGAGCAGCGGUCUCCAACCACAGGGCCACAGAGCUGGAGCUGGAUCUACCAUGAAAGACUUGUGAAUCCAGGAAGAGAGACUGACUGGGCAACAUGUUAUUCAGGUGGGAACAUCCAGUUGCAGGAAAACAAGCUUAACACGCCCACUGAUUCUACAUUAUGCUCCUACCUCCCGGCAGCCUCUCCAGGCCCAGAACUUUCUCCAGUCAGCCUCUACAGACCAAGCUCAUGACUCACAAUGGCCUAUUUAGGCCCAUACCCUACGUCACGGCAGCCUCCGCAGAUGAGGCUACUGCCUCACAACAGCCUCCACAGGCACAGCUCCAUCGUUACAAUGGCCUCUUUAGACCCAGCUCCUGCCUCCCAGCCUUCUCUCCAGGCCCUGAACAUUCUCAGGUCUCCCUCUGUUGUCCAAGGCUGGAGUGUAGUAGUGCUAUCGCAGCUGACUGCAGCCUCAACCUUCCAGGCUGAAGCGAUCCUCCCACCUCAACCUCCCACGUGGCUGAGACUACAGGUGCUUGCCACUAUGCCCAACUAAUAUUUGGAAUUUUCGUAUACGUGGAUUCCAGAGGGGUGACAGCGAAACGUGGGACCAUCCAGUUGCAGGAAAACAAGCUUAACACGCCCACUGAUUCUACAUUAUGCUCCUACCUCCCGGCAGCCUCUCCAGGCCCAGAACUUUCUCCAGUCAGCCUCUACAGACCAAGAUCAUGACUCACAAUGGCCUAUUUAGGCCCAUACCCUACGUCACGGCAGCCUCCACAGAUGAGGCUACUGCCUCACAACAGCCUCCACAGGCACAGCUCCAUCGUUACAAUGGCCUCUUUAGACCCAGCUCCUGCCUCCCAGCCUUCUCUCCAGGCCCUGAACUUUCUCAAGUCGACCUCACCAGGCCCAGGUCAUGCUUCUUUGCAGCCUCUCCAGGCCCAGCUCCUGCAUCUUGGUGGCCCCUCCAGGCCCAGCCUCUGCCUCCCGUCAGCCUCUACAGUCCCAACGUCUGCCUCACAGCAGAUUCUUCACGCCCAGCAUCUACCUCACUGUGGACCCCCCAAGCCAAGCUCCCAACCUUUCAGCAGCUUCUACACACCCAGCUCCUGCCACCCAGUGGCCUCUUUAGGCCAAGCUCAUGCUUCACAAGGGCCUUUCCAGGCCCAACUUUUGUCUCAUGGCAACCUUCCCUGGCCAGAUUCCUGCCUGUCUCCCAGCAGCCUAGACAGGCCCAGGUCUUGCCUCACACUGGCCUCUCUACAUCCAGCUUAUGCCUCACGGUGGCCUCUCCACGCCCAACUCCUGUCCCAGGACGUCAUCUCCGGGCCCAAAACUUACUCAAGUCAGACUCUCUAGUCCCAACUACUGCCUCCUGGUGGCCUAUGAAGGCCCAAAAUCUCCUCAAGUUGACCUGUCCAGGCCCAGCUCCUGCCUCCUGUCAGCGUCUACAGGCCCAACCUCUGCCUCAUGGGGGCUUCUCCAGACCCACCUCUUCCUCUUGGCUGGGUCUACAGGCACAACUGCUGCCUCACAACAGCCUUUUUUGGCCCAGUUCCUGUCCAGCUCAUGGCGGCCAAUGUAGGCCCAAAACUUCCUCAAGUCAAACUCUCCAGGCCCACCUUCUGCUUCCCGGUGGCAUCAACAGGCCCAGCUUUGACUUGAGAACAGCCUCUGCAGGCCCUGCUCUUGCCUCCCAGGGGCUUUUUCCAGGCCCAGCUCUUGCCUCAUGGCAGCUGCCCCAGGCCAAAUUUCUGCCUGCCUGCCAGCAGCCUCAACAGGCACAGCUCCUCCCUCACAGUGGCCCAUUUAGGCCCAACUCAUGACUGUGAGGCCAUUUCCAGGCCUAGUGCCUGCCUCGUGGCUGACUCUUGAAGCCCAAAACUUCCUCAAAUCAGGCUUUUGCCCAACUUCUGUCUACUGUCGGACUCUACAGGUCAGCCUCUGCCUCACAGUGGACCCUCCAGACCCAGAUGGUGUCUCACUGUGGCAUCCUCAGGCGAAGCUCCUGCCUUUUGGCAGCCUCUCCAGGCCCAGCUCCUCCUGCCUCCCAGUGGCCUCUUUCGGCCCAGCCCAGCUCAUGCCUCCCGGCGGCCUUCCCAAGCCCCGCUUUUGACUUUCGGUGGCCUCUGCAGGCCUCGACAAGGCCCAGCCUCCUGCCUCCCGAAGGCCUGCACAGGCCCAGCCUCUGCCUCACAGCGGACUCUCCACGCCCAGCUAGCUGUUGCUUCACUGCGGCCUCCCGAGUCCAAAGCUCCUGCCUCUCGGCCGCUUCGGCAGGCCCAGCUCCCGCCUGCCAGUGGCCUCUUCAGGCCCAUGGGGCUCAUUCCUGACAACGGCCUUUCCAGGCCCAGUUUUUCCCUUCCGGCGGCCUCUCCGGGCCCAGAACCUCCUCAAGUCGGCCUCUCCAGACCCACUUGCACCCUCCGUGCAUUCUCUCCGGGCCCAGCUCUUCUUCCUGGUUGGGUCUCCAGGCCCGAUUCCUGCCUCUCAACAACCUCUUUGGACUCAGUGCCUACCCAUCUCCUGGCGGCCUUGGUCGGCCCACAGCUUCCUCAAGCCAAGCUCCCCAGGCCCAGGUCAGGCCUCACGGUGGCCUCUCCAGGAUGAGCUCCUGCCCUCCGAUGGCAUCUCCAGGCCCCAAAUGGUCUCCGGUCGGUGGGCUCCUCCACGCCAAGGUUGGGCCUCCCGGCGACUGCCGCAGGCCCAAGUUGUCCUGAAGUCGGGCUCUCCCGGCCCUGCCUCCCAGCAAGUAAGCAAGCUCUUUUGGCUCAACUCCUGCCCAGCUCCCAACCGCCUUUGUAGGCCCCGAACUUUCUCCAGCCAAGCUCUGAGGGCCCACCUCCUGCCUCCUGGUGGCCUGUACAGUUCUAGCACUGGUUGGAGAACAGCCUCUGCAGGCCCCGCCCUUGCCUCCCAGGGGCCUCUCCAGGCCCAGCUCUUGCCCCCACGGCGGCCUCUCGGGGCCAAGUCCCUGCCUGCCUCCCAGCAGCCCGCGUGCGGCCCAGCUCCUCCCUCACGGUGGCCUGUUGAUGCCCAACUCAUGCCUCUGGCACCCUGCCCAGAGGCGUGAGCCCCUGCCUCACACUGGCUCCUCCCACGCUGAGAGAGGUCAGUGUGAGCCCUUGCCUCACCCCGGCCCCUCCCACGCGGACAGAGGUCAGCGUGAGCCCCUUGCCUCACACCGGCCCCUCCCACGCUGAGAGAGGUCAGUGUGAGCCCUUGCCUCACACCGGCCCCUCCCACGCGGACAGAGGUCAGCGUGAGCCCCUUGCCUCACACCGGCCCCUCCCACGCUGAGAGAGGUCAGCCCGAGCCCCUUGUCUCACACCGGCCCCUCCCAUGCUGAGAGAGGUCAGUGUGAGCCCUUGCCUCACACCGGCCCCUCCCACGCUGAGAGAGGUCAGUGUGAGCCCCUUGUCUCACACCGGCCCCUCCCACGCGGACAGAGGUCAGCGUGAGCCCCUUGCCUCACACCGGCCCCUCCCACGCUGAGAGAGGUCAGCCUGAGCCCUUGCCUCACACCAGCCCCUCCCACGCGGAGAGAGGUCAGCGUGAGCCCCUUGCCUCACCCCGGCCCCUCCCACGCUGAGAGAGGUCAGCGUGACCCCCUGCCUCAACAGGCCACCGUGAGGGAGGAACAGGAUCGCACUCGGGCUGCUGGGAGGUAGGCAGGGACUUGGGCCUGGGAGGUCGCGGUGGGGCGAGAGCUGGGCCUGGAGACUCCCCUGGGAGGCAACAGCGGGGUCUGCAGACGCCCUUCUCCAGCCGGAGCUGGGACUGUUCAGUCACUGGGAGAAGGGAUGUGGGUCUGAAGAGCUUGGUUGCAGAAACUUUGGGGUCUACAAACGCAGGCGGGAGCUGAGCCAAAAGAGCUUGUUUGCUGGGAGGUGGGAGAUGCAGCCAGGAGGAACAGCUGGGCAAUGCGGGAGGCAGAGGCCAGGCCUCCUCAAGUUGGCCUCUCAGACCCACUUGCAGCCUCCCGGCGCCCCCUCCGGGCCCAGCUCUUCCUCCCGGCUGCAUCUCCAGGCCGGACUCUGGCCCGACUCCAGGUCCCAACAACGUCUUUGGACUCAGCUCCUGCCCAGCUCCCAGCGGCCCUGGUAGGCCCACAACUUCCCUAAGCCAAGCUCCCCAGGCCCAGCUCAGGCCUCGCGGUGGCCUCUCCAGGCUCAGCUCCUGGCCCUCCGAUGACAUCUGCAGGCCCCAAAUGGCCUCCGGUCGGUGGGCUCCUCUAGGCCCAGCUUGGGCCUCCCGGCGGCCUCCGCAGGCCCAAAUCGUCCCGAAGUCAGUCUCUCCAGGCUUAGCUCCAGCCUCCCGGCGGCCUCUGCAGGCCCAAGUCGUCCUCAAGUCGGCCUGGAAGUGGGCCUGGAAGAGCAGCAAGUCGGCCUCCCUGGGCCCAGCUCCGUCCUCUCGACGGCCUCUCCAGGUGCAAAACUUCCUCGAGUCAGCCUCUCCAGGCCCAGCUCCUCCUGCCUCCCAGUGGCCUCUUUCGGCCCAGCCCAGCUCAUGGCUCUCGGCGGCCUUCCCAGGCCCCGCUUUUGAGUUUUGGCAGCCUCUUCAGGCGCAGAACUUGAUCUCCAGUCGGCCUUUGCAGGCCCGGCCUCCUGCCUCUCGAAGGCCUGCACGGGCCCGGCCUCGGCCUCGGCCUCACAGCGGACUCUCCACGCCCAGCUAGCUCUCGCCUCACUGCGGCCUCCCCAGUCCAAAGCUCCUGCCUUUCGGCCACUUCGGCAGGUCCAGCUCCUGCCUGCCAGUGGCCUCUUUAGGCCCAGCUCAUUCCUCACGUCGGCCAUUCCAGGCCCCGUUUUUCCCUUCCGGCAGCCUCUUGGCCUCUAAUUUGUUUAUCUUUUGUGUAUAAAUCCCAAAAUAUUGAAUUUUGGAAUAUUUCCACCAUUA
RNAcentral lists this long non-coding RNA (5007 nucleotides) under Homo sapiens (human). RNAcentral's name for it is "long independently transcribed non-coding RNA 1001, transcript variant 1 (LINC01001)". Lineage: Eukaryota; Metazoa; Chordata; Mammalia; Primates; Hominidae. The record is from RNAcentral.